Molecule: long non-coding RNA, 2306 nt
Organism: Xenopus tropicalis (tropical clawed frog)
Lineage: Eukaryota; Metazoa; Chordata; Amphibia; Anura; Pipidae
Exons: 2
Source: RefSeq, a predicted model, not a curated record
UUGAGUAAGUAUUUAUUUAAAUCCAAGAGCGACUUACUCACUGUGGGCGAGAAUCCUAUAUCCCUAGUGGAGGAUCAUUGGAGUAUAUAGAUACGAGUCAUUAUAGAAUUACGAGCAUUAUAUAUAUAUAUAUAUAUAACUAACUCCGACAUUUAUGGGGGCUUCGUCACGGUCCUGUGGUUCUGAUUGUCACAAGAGGAUUGAUUUCUCAGCUCUCGGUGUUUAAAGCGUCAGACUGACCAGAGAACCAGAUCUGUUUCAGUAGUUUUAGACACUGCUAAAGGACAUACAAAUAAUAUUUUAGGAAAGAUCUUGUUUCCAUAUGUUAAAGUCAAUGUUUUCAGUAAUGUUAGUAUGCAUUUAAAGUUUUAGAUGCACUAUAAUUACUUUUCUUAAUUUUUUUUUCUUUUCUUAAUAGAAGAUAUAACACAAUGACAUAAAGUGAUUAUGAGACCAGUUUAUCUCUUUAACAGCUGUUCAACCUCGAGGACACAGAUAUCUGUCAGUCUGCAAGAGAGAUCGGACAUCUCUAAAGAAGUUUAUGUUUGUUUGUUUCAUUCUUCUUAUUCUGCCUUUAUUUGUUUUAACUUUCUAUUGUUAAUUAAUAUUCCUUUUCUGUAGUUUUAUUUUAUUUUAUAUAACCAAAUCUUCCACGUCUAACAAUUUUUUUUUUCCUGUAUAUGUCUCAUUUCUAAUAUUCUAUACAGUCUUGUCAAACAUUAAUAAUUCCUAUAGUGUCACUAAUUUAUUUUCUUUCUUGUUGAAUGUUAACUAACAUGCAUGAAUGAAUGUAUCCUUACUAAUAUGACUAACAAUUUGUUUCCUAACACUCAUUUCACCUAAGACAGCAAAUAAAAUACAAAGAAAUGCAGAAGACUUAAAAUUUUUGCCAUCUCAUACAAUUUUUUUUUUUUUUCAAACCUUAUACACUCAUAUUAUACAGUACAUGGCUUACUAGGACAUUUUUGCAUAACUAUUCCCUUAUAAUAAUAUUUUUUGUGUUAUAUAGGAUAUUUGAUCACUUCUAGUAUGAUCUAAAGUCUGAUAUCUAAAAAAUGUUUGUUUUGUACUUCAAUCAAUAUAUACAUGCGGUGUAUCUCAUAGUUAUCCAUGUAUCACUUGAUACUUGACUUCUAGACCAUGUGGUUGGGUGACAGGUCAUGUUGUAUAAGUUUACUCUCAAGUAACUUGUAUAUUAUUAUUAGUGUAUCAUCGCAUUGCAUUUAUUAAUUUAGUACAACUUUUAAAACACUUUUAAUAAUGUUUGUUGUAACUGUAUAUCAUCUUUAAUACCAUUCAUAAUUCAACUGGAUAAACUAGUUACAUCUGCAUAUAUCAAAUGUUAUAUUUAUAUAAGUUCAAUCUUACUAUGCAGACAUAAUCUUCAUAGUAGAAAUGAUUAAUGCUAAGGGUUAAUUGAUAUCAUUGACCACAAGUCACUGUGAAACACAAAUAGGACAUUAUCAGGGAAGUGCUAACAACUGCUCCUAGUUAUAAAAAUAUACUGGUAAAAACAAAAAUCCUGGUUUUCUCAGCAUUUACUUUGGGUAAAAUGACAUGUUUGUAUUUGUGUAUAUUUAUGCAUGCUAUGUUUUUAUAAAAAAAAAAAAAAAAAAAAAAUACCAGACAGACUAUAUAUUAAUUAAUUGAUGGAUAUUAUUAAGUUUUCAAAUGUUUGUUAUUACAUUUCUUAAUAGUGCAUAUACCUUGCCUAUAGACCCCAAUCAUCAUCCUGUUUUGAUUUAAAAUAUUCCUUUAUCUGUGAGCUCAUAUUCUAUAUCUUUAUUUCUUUGUAGAUAACUCCUUUACUUACUUUCUUCUAUUCCUGGCUGAAUCUUUUAACUGGCACAUGGCACAUUUGUUUAACUAUAUACCAGACAGAUUCAACAGCUGAAUAAUCAAUUGCUGUAUAAUGGCUACAUAUGAGAAUAUAUCAGUGGUGAAGCACACAGACGCACCGAUGCACAGACGCAAAAAUUUAUUGCACCAACUCUGCUAUGGACUCUCUUCACCAUUGCACAUACUAAAGUGACAUCUUGGACCAAUGCUUAAACAUACUUUAUCAAAGACAUUUCUGCGCUGAUAUUCUUCAAUGCACCAUACCAUCAUGGGCUAAGCUUAGUCCUCAGUGGUGCUGGAUCAUCCGGAUAUUAAAUGGACUAUGGAUUUCUCCAUUUUACCUAUAAAAUGACUUAUGUGCUGAUAAUAAUGUGAAAUAAGUCCACUGUGAUUGUAGCAUUUUGUAUUUGUCUGGUAGAGCAAUUUUUUUUUCUCUUUUUUAUAUAUGUAUUUUUGUUUUCAGUCAA